UCUAAUGCUAAAACUUGCCCUAUGUUCUUGAGAGACCCUGAAGCCUACUUUGAAGAGGCUCGUCUUUGCAAUCGUGCCUGAUUGAACAUUACCAGUAAAUACAGAAGUGUGGAGCCAGACUGGUACAGAGCAGUACAAGGAUAAGACAGAAGAUCUUUGUGUUGCUGGGUCUCUGCACCAUCAGCUGGGAUUGAACAAAGAGAUGGCAUGGCUUUUCUCUCGGAACAGGGUGUGUGCACACCGAAAAGCACUGAGGAGGAACUGAGGCCUUGGCUGAUCCAGGAGGGUGCCCAGAGCAGCUCUGCAAGCGAGGUUAGUGCCUUCACUCCUCUGUCAUCACCAGUCCCUGAGAGCAAUCACCACCCACCAACAGUUCCUCGAGAUAAGACCGAGCCAGCUGGGAGAAGAAAGCCUUUGAUAUUUCCCUGCCUUGCUGACUGCAUUUCUCACAGCUCACAUCUCGGAGUGGACCAGCAGAGGUGACUGGGCAUAUAAGAAUAACACUGACGGGAAGUCAAAACAGGGGCCUCCAGAGCCAGCGUAAAUCAGAAGAUAAGGAGGCUUCAAGGCUACAACCGUCAACAGCACCUGCAACUUGACAAGAUAACAAACAGCCUGUCUGGAGACAGUGAAGGAAUCCAGUAAGGAGUCAGAAGGUGUCAGUCCAGAAUCACUAUUGGACCAAAGGGCGCGUGGAAGAUGCGUGAAGAGAGUGAAGAAUGCGUGAGGGGCGGGUGAAUAGGCUGUAAGGGUAUAAUUCCCCAGGGAUUUCUUUGUUCGGGUUCUUCCGUCCUUCCUUCCUUCCGUCCUUUCUUCCUUCCUCUCCUUCUCCUACCCCCCCCUGCCCCCUCUUCAGGGGCACCCAGCUGGAGCUGACCCUGCUGCUGUACCCCUCUAUUAAAUUAUUUAUUUUUAUAAGA
This is a long non-coding RNA of Gymnogyps californianus (California condor), 920 nucleotides long. RefSeq lists it as uncharacterized. The record is from RefSeq and is a predicted model, not a curated record. The transcript is spliced from 6 exons. NCBI's taxonomy places the organism in Eukaryota, Metazoa, Chordata, Aves, Accipitriformes, Cathartidae.